This 292-nucleotide ribosomal RNA is filed under the name uncultured bacterium. RNAcentral describes it as "partial 16S ribosomal RNA". It matches the Rfam family "Bacterial small subunit ribosomal RNA", at positions 505 to 796 of the family's 1533-position model. The record is from RNAcentral.
GUGCCAGCCGCCGCGGUAAUACGGAGGGUCCAAGCGUUGUCCGGAAUCACUGGGCGUAAAGGGUGUGCAGGUGGGGCAGCAAGUCAUAGGUGAAAGCCCGUGGCUCAACCACGGAAGUGCCUUCGAAACUGUUGCUCUUGAGUCCCGGAGAGGUUGCCGGAAUUCGUGGUGUAGCGGUGAAAUGCGUAGAUAUCACGAGGAACACCAGAGGCGAAAGCGGGCAACUGGACGGGUACUGACACUCAGGCACGAAAGCGCGGGGAGCAAACAGGAUUAGAAACCCGAGUAGUCC